GAUGAACGCUGGCGGCGUGCCUAAUACAUGCAAGUCGAACGCGCAGCGAAAGGUGCUUGCACCUUUCAAGCGAGUGGCGAACGGGUGAGUAACACGUGGAUAACCUGCCUCAAGGCUGGGGAUAACAUUUGGAAACAGAUGCUAAUACCGAAUAAAACUUAGUAUCGCAUGAUACAAAGUUAAAAGGCGCCUUGGCGAUACCUAGAGAUGGAUCCGCGGUGCAUUAGUUAGUUGGUGGGGUAAAGGCCUACCAAAACAAUGAUGAAUAGCCGAGUUCAGAGACUGAUCGGCCACAUUGGGACUGAGACACGGCCCAAACUCCUACGGGAGGCUGCAGUAGGGAAUCUUCCACAAUGGGCGAAAGCCUGAUGGAGCAACGCCGCGUGUGUGAUGAAGGCUUUCGGGUCGUAAAGCACUGUUGUAUGGGAAGAACAGCUAGAAUAGGGAAUGUUUUUAGUUUGACGGUACCAUACCAGAAAGGGACGACUAAAUACGUGCCAGCCGCCGCAGUAA
Molecule: ribosomal RNA, 513 nt
Filed under: uncultured bacterium
Lineage: Bacteria
Description: partial 16S ribosomal RNA
Rfam family: Bacterial small subunit ribosomal RNA
Source: RNAcentral